Small nucleolar RNA from Zingiber officinale, 88 nucleotides. RefSeq annotates it as small nucleolar RNA Z159/U59. NCBI's taxonomy places the organism in Eukaryota, Viridiplantae, Streptophyta, Magnoliopsida, Zingiberales, Zingiberaceae. The transcript has a single exon. The record is from RefSeq and is a predicted model, not a curated record.
GACUCCGAUGAUGAUUAAACAUUAAACUUUCGUUCUUCUGAGUUUACAAGCAUUGCGGAAUAAAAAUGGAGACCUGAACUGAGGAGUU